This 478-nucleotide long non-coding RNA is filed under the name Ficedula albicollis (Collared flycatcher). RNAcentral describes it as "lncRNA (ENSFALG00000017788.2)". The record is from RNAcentral. Lineage: Eukaryota; Metazoa; Chordata; Aves; Passeriformes; Muscicapidae.
GGGGGGGGGGGGGGGGGGGGGGGGGGGGGGGGGGGGGGGGGGGGGGGGGGGGGGGGGGGGGGGGUGGUGGCCGCCGCCGCCCUCCGCCCGGCGCCGCUCCCGGCCGGCCCCGCGGGCCCGCUCCCCGCCGGCCGCCGAGCUCCGAGCGACCCCCGCGCCUCCCGCGCCUUCCUCCGCCCUUACGAGGCGGCAUCGUCCUACCCCCUGCUCCGCCACCUCCUCCUCCGGCGCGCAGCCCGCGGCUCUGGCAUUCCCAACGCGCUUGCUCUCCUCGAUUCGCUCGCUCUUUCCUCCGCCGUUCCUCCUUCUCCGAUCACAUGAGGAGCAGGCACGGCGACCCAGGACCCUCGUAAGUCGGAGAAGGCAUCGGACACAUACUGUACAUCUGGGAGAUGAUUUUGGAGGUGUGAAGAAGAACAAACAUCACUCCCUGGCAUGUGUUCUACUCCAGAUGAGCAUGUCAGCACACUCUUUUUGA